Molecule: non-coding RNA, 86 nt
Filed under: Leuconostoc pseudomesenteroides KCTC 3652
Lineage: Bacteria; Bacillati; Bacillota; Bacilli; Lactobacillales; Lactobacillaceae
Source: RNAcentral
GGGUCUGUUUUUGGAAUUCGACAGGUCGUUUAGAGCAUUGAUUGCGUUUCGCCAUCCGGGCGCAAAACGGGCAGAAAUUUUAACUG